This 10137-nucleotide long non-coding RNA is filed under the name Triticum aestivum (bread wheat). Its description in RNAcentral is "long non-coding RNA (TAES_LNC019570)". The record is from RNAcentral. Lineage: Eukaryota; Viridiplantae; Streptophyta; Magnoliopsida; Poales; Poaceae.
UAAUCCUUCAUAUAUUAACUAAAAUCAAGAGCAAUAUGCCAAUAUACCAUCAACUAGCACAAAAGCGUACAUUACUCAGGGCACAAAUAGCAAUACUACACUGUAACAAACCACCAAUGCUGCAUGGAUGACAUAAUCCGAGAUCCCUAAAUGAGAUUAUUCAUUGGAGUAAACAUGUCCUAGGAAUAUUGGCUAGCUAGCAAACACAGCAUAUAUGAUGUUCAGUAAUGGUCGUUACAUGCUGGGUCUGUUUAAUGUUCUGCUGUGACCGGAUAGUCUGAAAAUUCUCUCAGAUUCCCCUACGAACGAGAUACAGUUAAGUUGAUCGCGAAACACCAUCAAACCAAGACUCCUGCAGAUUUUCCCCAAAAUGAGAGCUCAAUAAGCUACCACCAUCAGCUUCCUAAUUGAUUACGGAGCAGAAUCGGCUAGUUUUGAGAAAUCUGAAAACAAAAUAAGAAACAUUAGACACAUUUGAAUGAACAUGUCAAGAAGAUGAGUGAUAUGGAUAAACAGCAAGACGAAAUUCAGUAAACCGAAAUGCUACUACAGUUAGUCCAUCAAUGUGUAUUUCUAAAAGUGAAAUAAGUUAGUGAAAUAUCAACUGGAUAGCACAUUUAUUUUCAAUCCAAGGUUUGGUUGUGGAAAAUUACACCACGAUCAAUUUUAAGAAAGAUCAAGCUUCAGUUUCAGGCUUUAAUCAGUUAGUAUUUCAGAAAAAGGAAAAACAAUGGCGGUCAUCAUGUCAUCAUUUGUUUUUAUCAACUUUCAGAAAUGAAAGAUGGGAGCGAUGCUCCUUUAAGUCAAAAAAAAUGGUGGGCAUCAUCAUGACAAGGCUAGAUAUCCUUGAGAUUCUAAUACAGUGAUACCCUUCAGAUUCUAAUACAGUGGUCAGCAGACAAAGAAUGCUAGGCAUCGUUUGUGCCUGCUUUUUCGAUAAAGGGUGCUUUUGUUAUCUCGAAAUGUAGCAUCAAGCGGAUACAAAACAUUAUGAGUAACACCCAGCUUCUGCACAACUAGGAUGCACACAGCCCAACAUGAAAAGUCUGACAAAAUGAAUGAAAAAAACGACAAAUCGGCGACAGUAGAGUCCUAUAGACCGACACUAUGCCUAUGUCGCAAGGGAUGGUGGACCGAUCCGGAGAUUAUGCUGCCACCCAUGUUGAGUAAAAACCACCGUAGCCACCUGCUCCAACCGCGUACACACCGCCUUGAACAGCGGUUGGUACUCCACAUGUUGUAGCGUAGACCACGUACGAAGCGAGUGCGUACAACGGAAAAUAACCUGCAAAGGAGAAGCAUUUUUAUCAUUGAAAACCAAAUCAUUUCUACAUAGCCAAAGCGACCAUAGUAAGGCGUAUGCUCCCACCCGUAUUAGCGUUUUGAAUCUAUUUGGAAUACCGUCCAACCAGUGACCAAAAAUAUUGGCGACACUUGUGGGUGGAUACAAAUUUGACGCUAUUUGGAUGAUUGACCAUGUAGUACAUGCAAACUUGCAUUGGAAAAAGAGGUGUUUGAUUGUCUCUUCAUGAGUACAAAAACAACACUUCUUACUCCCUGGCCAGUUGCGUCGUGCGAGGUUGUCUUUGGUUAGAACAACUCCCCUACGAAGAUACCACAUGAAGAUUUUAACUUUUAGUGGAAUCUUCGACUUCCAAAUUUUCUUAUUGUUACUCACCGGUACCUCAGAAUGCAUGAGUGCACGGUACAUAGAGUCUACUGUGAAUGACCCUGAUGUAGUAAGGUUCCAGUGAAACACAUCCCGGCCUUGUCUAAUAUUAAUCGAAUCCAGACGGGAUAAAAGAUUGUGCCAUGACAUAAGUCGGGGCCCAAUCAAAUCCCGCCUAAACGAAAUAUUGGGUGGGGAUGAACUGAGCACUUGCGCAAUAGUAUUAUUCUUUUCGCAAGCAAUGUUGUACAGGGCUGGAUAUUGUUCUCGAAGACUGGCAUUGCCUAGCCAGAUGUCUUCCCAGAAAGGAACCUCCGACCCAUCCCUUAUCGCGAAAGACCCAAAGUGAAAGAGAUGUUUCUUUGCCGCCAUUAGGCCAGCCCAAAAGUGCGAGUCGCCAGGUGUCCAAUAUGCCUGAGACACUGCCUUUUGGCCUAGAUACUUGUUGCGCAGCAUGGUUUGCCAAACAUCAUCCUCAGUAAGAAGUUUGAACAAUCAUUUACUAAGUAGGGCCUCAUUCUUGAUUUGCAAGUCAUGAAUUCCAAGGCCACCUUGGUCUUUCGGCCUACAAACCACACUUCAUUUGGCCAGUCUAUAUUUUUUCUUUUCACCAUCUCCUUGCUAAAAGAAUCUGGAUCUAAAAUAGUCCAGUCUUUGCAGGACCCCUUUUGGUAGUUGGAAGAAAGAAAGCAUAUAGAGAACCAUAUUUGUGAGGACAGAGUUAAUCAAAACCAGUCGUCCUCCAACUGAGAGCAAUUUGCCUUUCCAACUGCUCAAUCGUUUCUCUAACCGCUCAUCUACAUGCUUCCACUCCGCAAUGGUGAGACGCCGAUAAUGAAUCGGUAUUCCCAAAUAUUUAAUCGGGAAUUGGCCAUGUGCACAACCAAACAGGUCAGCAUAUUCGGCCUCCGCCUCAGUGGCUUCUCCAAAGCAGAAAAGUUCACUAUUAUGAAAGUUUAUUUUAAGACCCGACAUUUGCUCAAACGCUGACAACAAGAGUUUAAGGUUUCGAGCCUUGUCCAGGUCAUGUUCCAUAAAGAGAAUCGUGUCAUCGGCAUAUUGCAGAAUAGAGAGACCACCAUCCACAAGGUGUGGCACUACUCCUGCAAUCUGGUCGUCCUGCUUGGCGCGCUCAAUCAGAAUAGCCAACAUGUCAGCGACAAUGUUAAAUAACAUUCGAGACAUGGAGUCACCCUGUCGUAAUCCUUUUUUGUUUGAAAGUAAUGGCCUACAUCAUCAUUGACUUUGAUGGCCACACUACCUCCAGUUACAAAAUUAUGGAUCCACUCGCACCAUUUAUCGGAGAAACCUUUCAUCCUUAGGGCCUGUUGGAGGAAAGACCAUUUGACCUUGUAAUAGGCUUUUUCAAAGUCGAUCUUGAAUACUACUCCACUCAUGUUUUUUCGGUGCAUCUCAUGGACGGUCUCAUGUAGGAUUACUACGUGAAAGAACAUGCGGUGCCCCCAUGUUUGGUUUUGGUAAUUGAUGACAAUCUCUAUGGACUAAUGGUUGCCUUGAGUUAUAUUUGAAGGAUUUGUCCAUAGGCAUUUCUUGAAGUCCAUGUGUUGGUUUCAAGGAGUUUAUGUGGUGACCAAGGUGUUAUUAAGGAAUUAUCCAAAGAUUGGUCAUGUGAGAGUUGAGCUUAUUGCAAGCAUGUCGUGGAGAAGAAGAUUGUGUGGUCAUUCAUGUAUAUCUUCAAGACAUCAUCCAAAUGAAGAGAGUUGAAAAGAUUCAAGGUUGAUCAAGACUAAGUGAAGAGUGAAUCAACUUGAUCAACUCACAAAGCGUAGAAGAUGUACCGAGAGGGAUCAAGCGAUCCCAUGGUGUGGUAAGCAUUGUCAAUUACGCUUUGUGUACUAACCCAUGAUCUUCGUGAGAGUUCUUUGUGGGGUUAGGUUGCGGUGUGCAAGUUCAAGUGAAGCAUCAUGAAGAGAUCAAAUGCUUGAAGCUUGCCGUCCAUUGUGAUGACAAUGGACUUGUGAAGAUGUUGCGGUGUGCAAGCUCAAGUGAAGCAUCAUGAAGAGAUCAAAUGCUUGAAGCUUGUCGUCCAUUGUGGUGACAAUGGACUUGUGAAGAUGUGCGGAAGGGUGGCUCACCCAUAGUGGAGUAUGGGGGAGCAAUCAACUAGUCUUCAUCGAGCCAACGCAAUCAAGAAAGGUGGUCCAUCUUUAGGGAGUCAAGAUCGUCAUCAUCUAGCUCAAGUGGACCAUGUGCAAGGCAAAGGUUUGCUCUUGAUAGGUUUUCUAUUUUACCGGUCUCGUGAUGGUAGUUGGGAGACCGGGUUAUAGGAUCGAUUGUCGUACUAUCAAGGGGGGCUCUCGAUGAGUAGCUUGAUCGUAUCGUUCAUAGAGAGCUCAAACCAUUGCAUCCUUGCAUCUUCUUUAUUGGUUCUUGUUUGGUUCUUCUCUUUGUGGGUUUUGGAGCUUAUGGUCAUCUUGAUGACAAGCUCGAGUUCAUCGAAAACGGAGUUCACUCGCAUCUUCUAUGAUGUUUUCGAUGUUGGAGGUUAUGUCGGUUCUUCUCGGUUGGAGGUUUCACUCCUCUAUUUGUUGGCAUACCUCCCCUGCCUCUUCUCGGUUGGAGGUUUCACUCCUCUGUUUUGAUGCUACUCGUCUUCCUCUAUCCAACAAGCUUGAGUUUGCUCAAUUCGGAGCUCAUAUGCAGAAGUUAUGGCAGUUUUGGUUUCCUAGCGGUAGGACCGCGUGCCGGAGCGGUAGUACCGCUUGGGUGCUACAAGCGGUAGUACCGCUCAGGAGCGAUAGUACCGCCCAGAGCAGUAGUAUCGCUGAUAGCCUCAACUGUGUGCUCCCUCUGGUCCCAGCGGUAGUACCGCGGGACGGAGCGGUAGUACCGCUUGGGUGCUACAAGCGGUAGUACCGCUCUAGGAGCGGUAGUACCGCUCCAGAGCAGUAGUACCGCUCCAGAGCAGUAGUACCGCUAGUAGCCCCCAGCCGUAGUACCGCGGUGGUCUCGUGCUAGUACCACCUCGAUUCGAGGGGUCUUUUUCGUGUCGGGUUUUACGGUACUAGCCGCGGCAGUGGGGGCCGUAGUACCGCUCGUAUGCGGUAGUACCGCCCUGCCACCGCGGUAGUACCGCUCUGGGCUCAGCGGCAGUACCGCGAGGGGGAGCGGUAGUACCACUUAUAGGGGCAAGCGGUAGUACCGCUGGCCAAGCGGUAGUACCACUCUUUGCGGGGCUGAAGUGGGGGUAACGGUUGGAUUGUUCCCCCCACUAUAUAAGGAGGUCUUCUUCCCCAUUGAACCUUAUCUCUUGAGCUCGUGUUCUUCCCCCAUUGUUGACCUUCUUCGAGCUUGCUAACUCUCAAUCCCUCCAUGGAUUCUUGCUAGUUUUUGAGGAAAAAGAGAGAGGAGAUCUAGAUCCACAUUUCCACCAAUCACUUUCUCCUCUAUGUGAGGGGAACCCCUUGGAUCUAGAUCUUGGAGUUCUUGGUGUUCUCCUUCUUGUUCUUCCUCUCUUUUUCCUCCCUAGAAUUAGUUGCUUCGGUGGGAUUUGAGAGAGAAGGACUUGGGCACUCCGUGUGCCCUUGCCAUUGCAUUUGGUGCAUCGGUUUGAGUUCUCCACGGUGAUACGUGGAAGUUACAAGUUGAGAAGCUUAUUACUCUUGGGUGCUUGGUGCCCUUGAGCUUGUUCCUCUUGGGUGCUUGGGCGCCCUAGACGGUUGGUGGUGUUCGGAGCUCAAUCAUUGUGGUGUAAAGCUCCGGGCAAUCGUCGGGGUCUCCAAUUAGGUUGUGGAGAUCGCCCCGAGCAAUUUGACGGGUUCCGGUGACCGCCUCCAAGGGUUGCCAAAGUGUACGGGUUCGGUGACCGCCCCCAAGGGUUGCCAUUUGUACGGGUUCGGUGACCGCCCUCAAGGGUCCCUUAGUGGAAUCACGACAUCUUGCAUUGUGCGAGGGCGUGAGGAGAUUACGGUGGCCCUAGUGGCUUCUUGGGGAGCAUUGUGCCUCCACACCGCUCCAAACGGAGAUUAGCAUCCGCAAGGGUGUGAACUUCGGGAUACAUCGUCGUCUCCGCGUGUCUCGGUUAUCUCUUACCUGAACCCUUUACUUAUGCACUUUACUUUGUGAUAGCCAUAUUGUUUCUUGUCAUAUAUCUUGCUAUCACUUAGUUGUUUAUCUUGCUUAGCAUAAGUUGUUGGUGCACAUAGGUGAGCCUAGUUGUUGUAGGUUUUGUGCUUGUCAAAUUAACCGCUAGGUUUAUUCCGCAUUUGUUCAAGCCUAAACCGUAAUUAUUUUAAAGCGCCUAUUCACCCCCCCCUCUAGGCGACAUCCACGAUCUUUCACUACGCCAUCAAGUAUAUUUCUUCCUUGCAUGAAAGCCGUUUGAGAUGGACGGACAACAUGGUCAGCUACCAAGUUUAACCUAUUCGUAGCCACUUUGGUGAAAAUUUUGAAGCUGACAUUAAGGAGGCAUAUGAGUCUGAACCGUUGGAUCCGUUCAGCCUCCUUAAUCUUCGGCAACAAGACAAUCUCACCAAAAUUAAGUCUGAAUAGGUCAAGGUUGUCGGCAUGAAGGCAAUUAAAGAACUCCAUUAGGUCAGACUUGAUUAUAUCCCAGAAAUUCUGAUAGAAUUCUGCGGGAAAACCAUCUGGACCUGGAGCUUUGUUAUGUUCCAUUUGGACACCGCAGCUCUCACCUCCUCUUCAGAGAAUGGUGAUGUAAGGAUAUCGUUUUCUUCAGCCGUGACUUGUGGGAUAUCAUCUGUUCGGGUCUCAUCAAGGGUGAAGUUCCCUUCGGCGGUCGUCCCGAACAGAGAUUUGUAGUAGUUAGUGAUAUACUUUUUGAGUUCCUCCUGACCUUCGAUCCGCCCCUCAUCUUGUUGGAGACUGUAAAUACAUUUCUUCCUAUGCCGCCCAUUGGCGACCAAUUGGAAGUAUCUUGUAUUACUAUCACCCAUCAGAAUGAAAUCAGCUUUGGAUCUUUGGUAGUAUUUGAUCUCUUCUUGUUGCAAAAGACGUGCAACCUUCUCAUUAGAUUUAUUUUUCAAUUCAAUCUCUUGUUGAGAUAAGGUGCGCAUCUCAGCAAUUUUGUCGAGGUCAUCAAUGAUGAUACAGAGUCAUUGUUUUUCUUUUUUAUAUAUCCCGUUGGUAUGUAUCGCCCAUCCAGUGAGAUGUUGCCUCAUGGCCCUCAUUUUAAAGUUCCAUCUGUGAAUAGGUGUACGACCAACAACAGGCCUCUCCCAAACAUUCUUGAUUAUGUCUACAAAUCCUUCCCGAUGCAUCCAUCCCAAUUCAAAUUUGAAAGGACGACGUGCAGCUAGGUUCGUAGAUUUAGAAUCUAGAAUGAUGGGUGCAUGAUCCAAUAACGCCUCGAUACGCUCUAGGGCUCGUACGGUUACCAGAGGAAAUCUUAGUUCCCAUUCGGUAUCCAUGAGUACUCAUCAAGCUUCUCAUAUAUCGGCACAGAUCGGUUAUUAGCCCAUGUGAACUGACGCCCCGACAUACUCGCCUCCCGAAGAUCCAAACUGUCUAUCACAGCGUUGAAUAGGAAGGGCCAAUGAGUGUCGAAACGGUCAUUAUUUUUCUCUUCCUGGUAUCUAAGGAUAUUGAAGUCCCCUCCAAUAAGCAUUGGGUACGGGUUAUCCUUCGCCAGGUUUACCAAUUCCUGAAGGAAAGCCGGUUUAUGCUCAUCUUGGGCAGCCCCAUAGACUGUGACUAGAGUCCAUGUAAAAUUGUCAGCUCUGUUUCUUAGGUGAUAUUUUAUAUGAAAUUCACCGAUUGACAAGGCCAACAAGUCCAUGACUAUUGUCAGAAUACCAAGAAGAAUUCCUCCAGACCUUCCACGAGCUGGUAGACUAUGCCAUGCAUAGUCGAAACCACCUGAUAGGUGAUCGAGGACAUGCGGGCGAAAAUCACACUUACCAGCCUCGGAAAUUGCCACAAAAUCCAAUCCAUGUUCCCUUACACAAUCACCGACGUGUUUAUGUUUAGCCAAGUCCGAGAGACCUCUGCUAUUCCAAAACAUGCCUUUCAUGGGGAAACUCGGAUUGGUGUGGAACUCUUCGCCUUCUUGGGCGGUUUUUGUUUCUUUUUAGAGGAGUGUGAUUUAGAUUUUCGCGAGGACGCUAUGAAGUCACAAAACAUGGACCCAGGUCUUGCGUCAUCCAAUCCAACCUCGGUAACCUCACCAACCAAGUGGGAUAUAAGCGGACCAUCAUAUUUGGCAUCUGCUUCAUCCUCCUCCUCGGUUUCGGGGUUAGGUAUGGAGGCAUUACACUUCGGAGAAACCUUUAAUCGGUCAAUCUCCAUAUGUUUAAGCACCCCAACCGAUAAAUUGAUUUCAUUAUCAUUCUUUCCAAUAGAGCAUCCAACAUUCUUUAAGCUAGAAGAAAUACGUGAGUCUGAAAAGGAAAGAAAAUAUUUUGUGCAUAAGUUACCUGGAACGGUGUCCAAAUUACGUGCAGCCCGACGUCGCAUUGCCUUGUCCAUAGCAUGUUCAUCGGUCGGAGAAGAACCGUCAACGGAGACGGGGUGACGGUUACUACGCCGAAGGGGAGAGCUUCCCUCAGACAUAAGAGCCACUGGUGUCAUUGGGCGAUCCGUCGACAAUGAUGAAGCAGUAGCGAACAUGGUAGGUGUUGAAGACGAAGUCGGUGCAGAGAGACGAACACAUGGAGCCAUCUGUGUAGCAUCGUGAGACGGCUUGGAAGACUGCAGACCAGCCUGCGUGGGUGGGCUGACCACAGCAACAGCCGGCUGCUGAACCGGCACGUCCAUUCGCUGGCGGAGAUCUGUAGCCUCAUGCAUAUCAGCUGGACAUGUAGAUGAGCCGACGGUCUCCGCUAGGCCAGCAGCUGGUGGACCAAACUCCCCAUUAAUCUGAUGCAUGGCAGUGACUCGGUUGGGAAGGUCCAGGCCUGCGUGUGCAUUGCCAUGGCCAGCAAUGCUUGCGUCCAAUUUAUCUGCAUGCAUCGCAUCAAUGGAUGGAAUGGUACUUGUACGUGACUCUUCAAUGGUGCUCAUGGGUGUGUGCGAGCAAACUCUCUGUGCAUCCAAAAAACGAACAUCUGUGUUCAUUGGGACAGUCCCACUCCCAUCAGAAUGAGAUUCAGAUGAAGCUGCACCGAAGACUCCAGAAUUUUUUUGCCUUUUUAUUCGCAUCACAAUCAGGCAAGUCAUCCUCGCGGUUAGCCCCAUGGUCGGGACCAUCAUCAUGGUGUACCCAAAUACGAGGGAUAAAAUCAUCAUCGGGCUUGAAAUCAUUGUCCUCGAGAACAAACCGGAAGUCAUAACCAUUUAAUUUGAUAUACACCCCAGCCGACACUGAGGCACUCCCUGCAUUAUCCUCUUUCUUGAAUAUAUUUAGAUUCAGGACAGCCACCUGAAUACGCUGAAUACGCACGAUGCCACGACGUCGUAAGCAAAUCAAGUCAACAUCUUGUGUUGCACCGAUGACGGAUCCCACUGCCCACAAACCAAGAAAGUGGCAAAGUGUCGGUGGAACUCCAGUGACAUGUACCCAAACUGGCUUCAGCGGAUUAUAUGCAGGCUUGACAUCAUUUUCUGAUUUCCAUUCACUAAUAGCAAUCAUGACAUUGUGAGACUUGACUUUGAACUCGAAAGCAGACACUCGACGCAAAACCUCCAUAGAUGGAAAGGCAACCAAGAAGGCAUCAUCACCAUGAGGAACGGCCUCCCACUUCCAUGAAGUUUGAACCGAGGCGAUUUUAGCAAUCUCAGCCUCCACAAUAGCUGCCGUCACCGAACCUCCCGAUAUCAUAACCAGACCAGUUGGUGAACAUGAUGGUGCAAGGUGCUCCUUAAAAACCGAGUCGGGCAGAUGCACGAACAUGGCCUCAUUUAGACCAACACCACCUAAGGCUGCCAUAGGUCUCGGCUGCUUCAGCACAGAACAACGAUGAAGAGGAUGCUUAUGAUUAUUGCAAAUGUAACAGAAGUGAGUCACAUUGCAAUCCUUAGAAAGAUGAUCAUCUGUCCUACACUUGUAGCACCAAAGACUAGUCUUCUUCCCUCCAAUCUGCGUGUCAGCCGAAACAGCGGAAAGCCCGGUCGGCACGGGCCCAGGCAACACCGGAGCAGCAGGAGUGGCCUGAGGAACCGGAACAAAGAGCGGCGGUCCCGAGGAAGUCCACGCAGGAACCCGGGCACCCUUCCGCUUCUUUUUCUUGUUGUUGUUGCUGGGACGGCUAGACGUGGGAGCACCAGCCGGCGCCGUGGGAACCCCGAAAACCAUAGGUUGUUGGAGAGGAGCAACAGCCGGCGCUGCCUGGCCGGCCAGUGGGAUCCUUGGCGGUCCGGCCGUGGGGCCAAACCCGGAGAAGCGGGACUGGGAUGGCACGGCAGGGCCGUCCUCAACUGAAGAUGUCGCGGUUCCCUGCGUUGCCAGCGAUCGUUUGUGCCUGCUAGUUCAGAAACACUAAUACACCUGAAUGAAGGGAUGGAAUAUCCAUGCUGACACACCAACCCAUAAAUUUUGGCAGCCUGGCAAG